GUAGAAACACAUGAAAAUAAGCAAUUUAAUAUCAAAUAGCAAAUAUUGAAAAUCAAUUAAACAUAGGUCAAGUUACUACCGCAAAUCCUAACUCAAUUAACUAGCCCAUGUUUUAUAUAUGAAUAAAAGGAGAAUACUUUAUAAAAUUCAUUGCAAGUUUGACAAAACAAUGGAGAUAAACAAGUUUAUAGAUAAAACCCCCUUUUGUUGAAUUUUUGCAGAUGAAAUUGCUUGCUUUUGAUUUCUUUAAAACCUUGCCGAAUCCAUUGAUUGAAUCUCCUUGUACUCUAGGUGUGAUCUCUAAAAUACCAAGAAUUGAAAAGAGAAAAAAAAAGGAAAAAAAAAAAGAAAAUGAAUAAGCAGAAGGCGGCCGAAGAAGACCCCAGAAGUCGUGCCCAGCUGCUGGUUUUAACUAUACAACCUAGAAAAAUUACAGCCAUGGUCCCUGAAGUUUUGAAAAAUGAACAAAUUGGUCCCAAGCCCCUUUUUUAAUAUAAACAAUGGCGCCUAGGCACCCUGUUUCUGUCCAGCACCCAAAAAAAGGGUUUUGGUGUAAUUUUCAGCUUAGUACCUUAUCUAAUUG
This 583-nucleotide long non-coding RNA is filed under the name Olea europaea subsp. europaea. Lineage: Eukaryota; Viridiplantae; Streptophyta; Magnoliopsida; Lamiales; Oleaceae. The record is from RNAcentral.